AAAAAAAAAAAAAAAAAAAAAAAAAAAAAAAAGAACCCACUGCAGCAGCAAAUGUUAUCCCUCUCCACCCCCCACACCAGGAGCAGGUGCAGUUUUCCUCCCUGGCUCUUCCAGAUGACCACGGGUGACACAGUCUGGGUCGCGGCAGUGGGAGGACACGAGGGGGCGUGGCUUGGAGCCACCUGGGGCCAGGGAAGCUCGGGUUUGGAGCCUGGUUGGCUUAGGUUAGCAGUCAGCUCUCGCACCCUGGUAGCCAGCCGGGCAUCUCUCAAUUAAAAGCACAUGUCUACCUCCCCGAGACUUGGGGAGUAACCUGAGCCUAGCUGGGGUUCAGGCGUGAAGGCGUUAAUCUUCGCUCUUUCCCCAGUCAACUCCCACGCAGGAUGUCAGUCAAAUAGGUCUCGCGAGAGUAAGGGAAAAAAAAAAAAAAAAAAAAAAAAGGUAAGGCUUUUUAAUUAACCCCGCCUUCAGCUCGAUUUGUUCCUAAGCAACGACGCCACCAAGCUCCACUUGAGUCGUCGGGUCUGGGAGCCCGCAGCCCUAGGCGAUCACAGAUCCUCCCCGAGGCAGCCCAGCCUCCCCAGGAGCCCGCCUGUGGCCCUGCAGGUGCUCCAUUGGUCCAGCCUGCCUCCAGGUGCCUCCUGAAGAACUACCAUGUCUGGGAAUUCAUCUUCCACAGAACACAGAAGCAGCAGCAGCAGCAACUGUAAACCUCAUACCUCAAACCUGCGGAAGGCAGGGAAGAAAUGCUCAUGGGCUUCCUACAUGACCAACUCCCCAACUCUCAUUGUUAUGAUUGGUUUGCCAGCCCGGGGUAAAACUUAUGUGUCCAAGAAACUAACACGCUACCUCAACUGGAUUGGGGUACCCACCAAAGUGUUUAAUCUUGGGGUAUAUCGGCGUGAAGCAGUCAAGUCCUAUAAGUCUUAUGACUUCUUUCGUCAUGACAAUGAAGAAGCUAUGAAGAUCCGCAAACAGUGUGCUCUGGUAGCACUGGAAGAUGUUAAGGCUUAUUUUACUGAAGAGAGUGGGCAGAUUGCGGUGUUUGAUGCUACCAAUACCACUCGGGAGAGGAGGGACAUGAUUUUGAACUUUGCAGAGCAGAAUGCCUUCAAGGUAUUCUUUGUGGAAUCUGUCUGUGAUGAUCCUGAUGUCAUUGCUGCCAAUAUUCUGGAGGUAAAGGUGUCAAGCCCUGACUACCCUGAAAGGAAUAGGGAGAAUGUGAUGGAGGACUUCCUGAAGAGAAUUGAGUGCUACAAAGUCACUUACCAGCCCCUUGACCCAGACAACUAUGAUAAGGAUCUGUCUUUCAUCAAGGUGAUAAAUGUAGGUCAGAGAUUUCUGGUCAACAGAGUCCAGGACUACAUCCAGAGUAAAAUUGUCUACUACCUUAUGAAUAUCCAUGUCCAGCCUCGCACCAUCUACCUUUGCCGGCAUGGAGAGAGCGACUUCAAUCUUUUGGGAAAGAUUGGGGGUGACUCUGGCCUUUCACUUCGAGGAAAGCAGUUUUCUCAGGCUCUGAAGAAGUUUCUGGAGGAACAGGAGAUCCAGGACCUCAAAGUGUGGACAAGCCAGUUGAAGAGGACUAUUCAGACUGCUGAGUCCCUUGGGGUGACCUAUGAGCAGUGGAAGAUCCUAAAUGAGAUUGAUGCUGGCGUGUGUGAGGAGAUGACAUAUUCAGAGAUUGAGAAACGGUACCCCGAGGAAUUUGCACUUCGAGAUCAAGAGAAGUACCUGUAUCGCUAUCCUGGUGGGGAGUCAUACCAGGACCUGGUGCAGCGACUGGAGCCUGUCAUCAUGGAGCUGGAGCGUCAGGGCAACAUCCUCGUCAUCUCCCACCAAGCUGUCAUGCGCUGCCUCCUGGCCUACUUCCUGGAUAAAGGCGCAGAUGAGUUACCAUACUUGAGGUGUCCUCUCCAUACCAUCUUCAAACUUACACCUGUGGCCUAUGGUUGCAAAGUGGAAACAAUUAAACUCAAUGUGGAGGCUGUGAACACACAUCGUGAUAAGCCAACUCACAACUUCCCCAAGAACCAAACCCCUGUAAGGAUGAGAAGGAACAGCUUUACGCCUCUGUCCAGUUCGAACACAAUAAGGCGUCCAAGAAAUUACAGUGUUGGGAGCCGGCCCCUCAAGCCCCUCAGCCCUCUCCGUGCCCUGGACAUGCAAGAAGGGGCGGACCAGCCGAAGACCCAAGUCAGCAUUCCGGUGGUGUAAUUGUGUGUUUCCCUCCAGCUUUGGCCUCUUGCCCUUGCCACUAAUCAACCAAGAAUUCAUUUAACUUUACCCCACUCCUGUCCCAACAUUAAUCUGAACAUGGAAUAUAAGCUCAUGCGUGUGCAGAGCAGCCUUAGCCAUUCUCUAGUGUAAACACCUCAGCCGGGGGCAAGAUGGCAAGUUGGGUCUUUUUAGGACAGCUUCCCAGAUGGGAUGGUCUGAAGGAAGAGGAGCCAAGCAUGAGUCAUGGACUUGGUUCUUCUGUUUCCUCAUGUCUGAUCCACUAAUGUCUCUGUGAAGUGUGUGUGGGGGUGGGUGGAGGGUAAUUUGGGGGGAGUGCUGAAUAGAGGGAGAUACAGAAACCCAUUUGUCCUUCACCUAUAUCCUUUCAAUCUGUCGUUACACUCCUUACUUAACUUUCAUGUCUUCUAGCUUCUUUGGGUUGUCUGGUUUGAUGCAUGGCAUUGUGGUAUUGUAAAGUAAGGGAUGGUUGAUAGGAGCCUAAGCCUUAUUGGUGCUGCCUGCAAAUGGGUCUGCAUCUGCACUGGGAGAGUCUUUUCCCUUCCCUUCUCCCUUCCUCUCCAGCCAGGUCCUGCAAGGGUCAGCCCAGGCUACAGAACAUCCACAGAAAGCCCUGGACUUUGCAAGUGGACAUAGGGUGAGAGCUCUCACCUCUUUUCACGAGAAACAAUCCUAAGUUUUUGUAGUACUGGGGAGCUGGCUCUAAGGAUGUGGACAUGUUUUGAUUUGUGUUACCAAUGCAAGGAGCCAGACAGUCCUUUGCUGGCUGUGGAGUGGGGCUGUGGAUAGGGUGAAGUCUAGUUCUUACAAAUUCCCAGUUCAGACUUUUUGUCCUGUGGCUCUCAGUUUCUUGGCUGUUCCAGUAGCUUUCCUGUCGCACGUGACCUUUGGGGCUGUUUAAAAGCACCAGGAUCCACCAUUAAGCCCUGAAUUUCUCCAGGCAAAAGGGUGGUUAAUAAAUUCAGUAAAGCCACUCAUUUCUUAGCAAUACUUUUUAGAAUAGUUUCCUUAAGCCAAGUUUUUACAUGAAAAUUACUUUUUGAGCAUAAAAUUUUGAUGAUGAAUUUAACCUCUCUUAUUGGGGAGUUCUGUUUAUAUUGAGAAACUAUCUCAGUAUUCCAAGGAGUCUCCUGAGGUUUGGCUCUUGGAAGUUUAUAUGUGUAUCUAUUGUUUGCUUUAAGGUGAUUCUCUCUGCAUUGGCCCAGGGUCUUGUCCUCUGAGCUCAAUACCAGUCCACUCAUGUCCCCUCUUCUAAGGGACAGUUUUAAAGGUCUCAGGAGAUUUUUCAGAAGAGACAGGUGACUCCUUACCUCUCAGUUUGUCAUGUGGGGCCAACUGGUGAGAGAAGGUUAGCAAUUUUCUAUGAGACUUUGUCUUGUGACAGAAAGCUUUUUGCAUGGUUCUUAUCCAGAAACAGUCCUUAGACUGUGCUGUAUAAUUUUUGAAAUAUAUACAUGCCUGGGGUUCCCAUGAGUCAGGCUGAGUACUGCCUUAAAAUCUCUGGGAUUGGAGCCUAGAUAAUUGGGUGUUUAAAUUGUGUCCUUAGUGGUCAACCCACUAAGAGUCAGUUCCAGGUCAAUAAGGCCACUUGAGGGGAUGGAGAGAUGUCUCAAGCCAUUAAGAGCACUUGCUGCUCUUCCAGAGGUCCAGAGCUUGUCUCCUAGCAUUCAUGUAACUCUAGCUCCAGGGGAUCUGAUGCUCUCUUCUGGGAUCCCCAGGUACUUUCAUAUAUGUAGCUCAUAUACACAUAGACACACAAAUACAACCUGUAAAACUAAAGUUAAAUCUUUUUUUAGGAUCCCACUUUAUGAAGCUGUAAGAAAUUAUGUCAGUAUAUUGGUAUCUUAGACAAAGUAUGUAUCAGACUGGGAAUUCUGAAUUCUUGGUUCUGAUGCUGGGGCUGAACACAGGCUGCUUUGUUAGAAAGGUAUUCAGGGUUCUGGUUCCAUCUUUUCCCUUGGCAUUGCAGGGGAAUGUGCAGCAUUACUGCACUUAAACACAUAUCCUUGGAUCCACACUGAGAACUCAUGCAAGGUGAUAGAGACAGAGCACGUGGACUGAUGGAGGUCAUCAUUACAGGCUGCUGACUUCUGGUCUAGAGGCCUCUACCCUUCCAUCCCAUAUAGAAUACUUAAGCCAGUUUCACAGGCUGCCUAGGUUCUUGAAACAUCCAAGACAAAGAAAGUGGGAACUUCUUUUAGGUAGUAUUCAUUUUCCCCUCUUGACCUUUGUUUAUGGGCAUUGGCCUUGGUAAGGAAACAUGCAAAAAGACAAUUUUUUUUUCAAUUUCCUUAGCCUGGAGAUUACAAACAUAUAUGUGUGUUUAGGGCUGACCAAUUAGGAUUAGGUAACCUAUCAGGGUCUUAUUCCUGGAGAAGACAAAGUCUCCCUCUCUCAGCAGCCAUUGAUUGCUGUUGGCUCUUCAUCUAGAGUAGGUUUUUUAUUCAUACAUAUGUGUAUAUAUGUAUAUGAAUACAACAAUAACUAGAAGAAGAGAUUAUGAACUUGAAAGAGUAGGGGAAAUUUUGGAGGAGUUGGAUGGGGACCAGGAGGGCCAGAAUACUACUCAUGUAUGAAAUAUUAAAAAUAAAAUUAAAAAAGACAGAAGAUGUAACUGAUAAAUGAAUAUUUCCAAAGAAUCAAACAGUCUAGAAGAGCUGACGCUGGAUAGAGUAUAGCCUGUCUUCUGACUGUUUUUUUAUUCUGUGGCUGUGAGACCCACAAAGGUUUGAGAUAUCCUCUCCUCACAGUGUGAGGAUGAGAUGAGGCCUGGGCAGUAUGUCUGGUACUUUUGCAUUAUUCCCUUGUCUACUGUAGUUAUUAGCAGCUCUGUUCUAAAUUGCUGUUCAGUCCUUUCUUCUGCUGCCAGGUAAGAGUAAUUCAGAGAGAUUGAGUGGGAGGAGGAAGAACCCUGAUCCAAUGGCUAAGGUUAUAAGAGGAGACUUGGCUGACCACCUGGAACUGAGCUAGCCUGUUGUAAAUACCAUCUGUAAAGGGGUUCACUGGAUGAUCAUUCUGACUCUCAGUCUAUACUCACUCUUCUAGUUUCCUGUGUUAGUUCACUUCUUGUAUAAGAAGAGCUGAGGUAGUUUUAUUAUCCUUGGAUAACAAGGAGUGGAAGUUGGAGCUGAAAAGCAGCAGGGGUUUCAACAUCCUUCACCUUUUAGAGCAAGAUCCUUCAGAGGAGCUGAGCAGGAGAAGCAGAGUGGAAAGUGCUUAUUCCAGAGUUAAGGGAAGUUCCACUUCUCAUUUUCCCCCUUUCCCUUUGUUACUUAUGGGUGGGAAAUUACCUUGCUGUGUGUCUGUGUAACAAGCUUACAAAUGGUGACUUGUGGUGCCCUGUAUUGAGGCUUUCAGUUUUGUUAUGGAGGGUAUAGGUGAAGGCUUGAAUCUACUUAUGUGAAUUAUACCUGUGUAAAAUAGAAGAGAACGUAAUAUUCUGUAUGUAUGUUAUUUAUUUAUUUUAAACUCAAAGCUGAAUGGAAGAUGAAACUCCGAAGAAUGGUGGGAGGGGUGCUGGAAAUGUAGCUCAGUGGUAGAGUACUUGCUUAGCAUAUAGGAGGCCCUGGGUUCAAUCCCCAGUACUGGGGAAAACAAAACAACUACUACUGGAUGAGAAAGUCAGGAAAUGGAUUUGAGAGAAGAAUGUAAAGGAGAUUUAGAGAACCACUACUGGCCUAUCUUCUUUCCAAACUAGAAUUUAGCACUUACUGAUCAUUGGUAAAGGAACCAUUUCAUUUGUUUUUAGAUAUGCAUUAUGCUGUGUGCUUACCACUCUUCCUGAGUCCUAAGAAGUCAAGUUAGGGAAGCAGCAUGUGUGUUCCUGGACCAAAUGGUUGAAUAUUUCAGGCAAGGAUCUGAGAAGUGGAGAAUGUGCUGGCUGAGCAUAGACGCCCCUCAAUGGCAUCCCUCACAUUGCUCUCCUGAUGGUGUGAGGCUGAGGUCAGACCUCCCCGAGGAACUGGAUCUACUAAAAAGCCUGGGAUGCCAGCAUCACUGAGGCUAGAACAGGAAAUUAAGUGGGAACUUCUCAUUUGAGGCUAUCAGAAGUGAGGCCUGGAAAAACCUUGACUGCAUUUCUUCCCCUCAUGCCUAAUGGGAUUAUUACUACACUGUGCCUCAAAAAUCCUUAACAGUCUGAAGGAGUUAGUUCUUACCUCUUUUGACCCAAGUUUGCAAAUGCUAUUCUACUUAGGCAUUCAAUAUUCUACCUAUGACUGCCUGCAUCCUUAGCUGGAGAUUGGCCUAACAUGUGAAUACAUUGCUUUAGAACUGGUUUUUAGGUGAGGAUGAACUUCAAGAAGGCCGUACUGCUCGGUGAGAGCUGCUUGUUGGAUCUGUUGAGGGUGAGCGGGCUGAAGUGCAAUAUGAGUGCUAGCAGUCACCUCUUGCAAUGUGGCAAGUAAGAUAUAUUACCAGGUAAAUGGAGGGUGUCAGGAACUCAGUUCUGAAGUGCCUCGUCUCUGGCCGCAGAAGAGUAGUGUUCAUUGCUCCCUUUUUAUUUAAAUAAGUUUUUCUUCUUCCAUACUCUUUGGUGCAGGGUCUGGAUAACAGACUUCCCCAAAGGGGACCAGACUUUACAUUCUCUUGUAGCUACUAUCUUUUCUCUCUGAGACUUGUGCCUCACAGAGCCUGAGAGGACUGAUUCAGUGCCCCCUGAGGGGUUGGAAAUGAAGGCUAGGUGGGACCAUAUCCAUCCCACCAGGAAAGAAAGAUGACUUCUUGAAAAAUUUUCAAGAUAUUUUUUUUUAAUUUCAAAAUAGGCAGAGGCAGACAUGGCCCUUGCAUCUGUCUCAUUGAUGUGAUGUCUGGGAAAGCCGUGGCUAUGACUAUAAGCAGUGGUCCUACGAUGGAUGCCUCUGUUCUAGCUGUCACUACUGUGAUCAGCUGGUCUCUCAUGACACUUGACAGAUGCACAUGGCCUCUGUGCAUCAGUGAGUCGAUGGCCCUUUCAGAUGAAUCAGAUUGCUGUUCCUAGAUCUCCGUGUGUCAGAUGUGCACACACAGUCACUAUAAAUGCGCUUCUGUUGUGUUAUCCCUGAAGAAGAAUGCAGAAGCCACAAAGUGUAUUGUACCUUACAAGUAGAACCUAGUGUUUUUUCAUUUUAUUUUUGUUUCUUUUCCUUUUCACUUGAAAUGCUCACUUGUUGGGCAGAAAAAUAGUAGCAAGAAAAGUCAUGAAAUGCUUUUUCUACAUGGUUCUUUUAUAUUUCAGACAAUACUGGUGACGGUUACCUAAGCAGGAUGUGGUGAACUGCAGGCAGUUCAGUGUCUCCUGACUUGCAGCUCUCUUCAUAUGCACAUCACCUGGAGGGAGGCUCCUUGUUCUGCUCAGUGUAGGCAGUUUUCCCUUGAUUGCUUGCAGCAUGCUGUACUACAAGGGUUUUGUUCUUGUGGUACAGGCUGCUUUCUGCAUUAAAGUACACUCCUGCUAUUUUUAUGAAGCUAUUUAUUGUGUGUGAGGAUUUUGCAUGUAUUUAAUCAGAAUGUCAUAUAUGUUCUGUGUUCUGCUAGCUGUGUAGGUGGCUUGACUCCUAAGCCUCAUGUCCGUAGUAUUAAGUUAAAUUUGUAGAGCAUAAAUACAUGUGUGUGUAAGAGUGAUAACUAUGUUAUAAUAGUACAUUUAAAUUUUUUUCAUUGAUCUUAUUAUAAACCAAGAAAUGUAUUUCUCUGGAGAAAAAGUUCUCUCUUGGAUAGUAAAACCAUGCUGAAAUAUCUGAGUUACAUAAAUUGCUUUUAUAAUAAAAUAAAGUUAUUUUUAAUUAAAAGGU
Molecule: non-coding RNA, 8009 nt
Organism: Cricetulus griseus (Chinese hamster)
Lineage: Eukaryota; Metazoa; Chordata; Mammalia; Rodentia; Cricetidae
Source: RefSeq, a predicted model, not a curated record